This 203-nucleotide ribosomal RNA is filed under the name uncultured bacterium. Its description in RNAcentral is "partial 16S ribosomal RNA". It matches the Rfam family "Bacterial small subunit ribosomal RNA", at positions 1290 to 1500 of the family's 1533-position model. The record is from RNAcentral.
AGUUCGGACUGGAGUCUGCAACCCGACUCCACGAAGUUGGAUUCGCUAGUAAUCGCGCAUCAGCCAUGGCGCGGUGAAUACGUUCCCAGGCCUUGUACACACCGCCCGUCAAGCCAUGGAAGCCGGGAGUACCUGAAGAUCGUGACCGCGAGGAACGGGCUAGGGUAAUACCGGUAACUGGGGCUAAGUCGUAACAAGGUACC